CCUUUUGAUGGUGUCUCAUAAAUCAAUGGGAUAGUAUCCGCAGUGAAAUUGAAGAACAGUGGUGGUUUAUCAGGAAAGUGAUCACCGUAAACACCAUUGAUUUGAUUAUAAUAAGCUCUUAGUAUAUCCAUACGUGUAGGUGUUUGAAAGCUUAUGUUGUUCACACUAGCAGCUAGUCUAGACUGAUUCGCCCCACAAGAAGUGUUUGCACACGUAAAUAUAUUAACAGAAACAGUGAAAAAUAAUGGAGUGCUUAUGCUCAUGGGGACAUGAAUUGGAUGGUUAUUAUCAGCUAAGCUUCUAAGACGGCCAGUGAAAUUAACCGAUGCAGUUGUGUCAUUAAAAUAAGGAAGGUAUGGCAAUGAGAGAGUGGAGGAUGGAGUGUAGUUGCCAUUGUACUGGACAAUGGCUGUGGUUGUUGUGUUGUCAUAUUGCACACCAUUGGCACUAGAGUAAACUUUUGCAGCCAUGUAAUAGUGGUCCAGUGGUUGGUUUGCUUCUAAUAAAACAUCAAUGGUUUGGCCAGGUGAUAUUGCUAUAUAAUCAACUUUCAGUGGUUUAGUGUAGCUGGCAUCUGUGCCGACCACUGUGACUUGAUGAUUGGUGAUGGAGAAAAAGACAAUGUCUUGAAGGGCAGCAUUAAUUAGGCGAAGAAGGUAAGUCUUGCCAUAGUCCACCGAUAGCUUGAAUGUAUCUGCAGUUAGAAAGACAAGGUUUUGAUUUAAUAGCUUUAAACUAUACAAACGUUCCACUGAGUUAUAGAUUCUUCCCUCUCUCAACAAAUUUCAAGUCGAAUCUCUCGUUUGAAAUAAGAAUGAUGAUGAUGAUGAUAAUAAAACACAAAUUAACAUGUAAUAUAUUAAGGAUGCAAUGCAGUAACCAUUUGAUUGUUUGGGCCGGGAGGAAAGAAUAGGCUUCUAAGAAUUCAUGGGUAACUUUCAUUUUGCCCCACAUGUUUAUAUAUUGCUCAUUUUCAUCUAAAACCUUUGAUUUAUUCCAAUUAAAUCCUAACUCUUUCAUCUUCUUCCAAUCAGCCCCCCAUCUUUUAUUUUAUUCCAACCAGCCCCCCAUCUUUUACUUUUGUUCCAAUUUCCGCCCUCCGUUCAUUUUCAGUGGGUGUGUGUUUAUAAAAUAUCUCAAUAUCAUCUAAAAAUAAAGAAAAAAAAUAUUAAAAAAUUGAAUUAACAAAAACAAAAAGAAAAAUUAAGCUUCAAUAUAAUUUUUUUUGCGUGUUUAAGAUGAUGGUAAAAAUUGUUUUUCAUAGUAUUUUUCACUUGAAAAUGUAUUAAAAUAAUUUUUUUAAUUUUUUUUAAUAUAAAUACAUCAAAACGAUCCAAAAACAUUAAAAAAAUUAAUUUAAAAACAAUUAAAAUUUUUCAAAAGCGAACUGCAAAAACAAACUCAGUUGUAUGGUACUUUUCAAAAGUGAUUUUUGCUUGGAAUUAUGUUUUUAAAAUUUUUUUCACCCUACCAUAUUAAAACCAUUAAAAAUCACUAAAAAAACAUCAAUAUAAUAUUUUUAAAAAACUAAAUACAUUUUUGUAAUGCAUCUAAACACAAUUUUUUUCCUAAAAAAAACAUAGCUGAAUCAAAGGGGUAGUACUCUGGAUGUUAAAGAAAUAUAAGGCUAAAUGAAAAGAGAAAAUCUAAGCAAUGGUACAGUGGCAUUGUACCCGAUUUUGAGCAAGGAUAAAGGUCACCGGGUUGACCAUUGAUCGUGUAAGAAUCAGAGACAUUGGGGUCUGCUCCCGAGGCACGGAAUUGAUCAAAGAUUUCAAAUAUGUCCUUCUUCCACCACUCUCCUGCAUUUCAUGAAUCAGUGGUCAAUACUGCAUUCAAAUCUUCCACGGCUUUAAGAACUGAAGUUUUCUUUUAAAAUUGAUGCUAUUAUACCUAGAAUAAUCGGCACGUCUGCAUGAGGCGCAGGGAAAGGAUAUUCGGUUCCUUUCUUGGGAUAUAUGACAAUCGCACCAUAAACAGUUGCUCGUGUCCAGUCACUGUGAGCAUGCCACCAUAAUGUUCCUUCUUCGUCAGAGAAUAUGACCCUCUGCUUGAAUUUUCCUCCUGGUUGAAUUGGACACUGUGUGAUAUAUUCAGGACCAUCUGACCAUGGAUAUUUUGGCUGAUUCACUCCAUGCCUAGGAUUAACAGUGUUAAUAUUGUUAUCUCUGCCGCCAUGCAUAUCGUGGAUUUGCAGGGUAAACAACCCAAACUUCCAGACAGAAGAUCAGAUGUAUAUAGAGGGACUUACCAGUGAAUGGUGAUGUUAUGAGGGCUCUUGUUAAUAACAUCCACGAUGAUGGUUUCUCCUUUAGUGACGUAUAGUGUCGGGCCAGGAAACUGUCCAUUGACGGUCAUUAUGUUCUUGGUGCUGCAGAGUCUUGUGUAUGGAACAUCUUUUACCUACAAUGAAUGUGCACAUACGCAAAACUACAAAUUAUGAAUGAGCUUAUAAAGUAAAACAUCUAAUCUCCUAGUUAUUACGUGUACGUACCAGUUUUUUUUUUUUUUUUGGAAAAAGUCGAUAUAAUAAAAGAGUAACAGAAGAUAGCUAAAAAUAAAAUAGAACAAAGAAUGUGACCCGUGCACCGAUGAUCAUUCUAGAAUCUAUUUCUUCUUAAUGUUAACAUUUUUCCUUUUCAUAUCAUAAAAAGAAAGUUGAACUUAUGUUAGAUCGCAUGAAAAAAAAAAAAAAAUCAGCACAUAGUACAUACCACAAAAGUAUGAUGAACUAUAGCUUGGCAACAUAGGAAACCACCAAAUAAUAGAAACCUUAAAAUUUGGAAGGCUAGAACUCUCAUGAUUGGUAUCAUUUUCUUAGCAACGAAUAUAUUCUUGUUUCACUCUUGAUGACCAACCGAGCUGUUAUGCCGGUAUUUAUAGGUAACAAGGAGCAAGACGGCAAUUUAGCUGGAGAAUUGUUCAAGAUAAUUUUGUAUUUCUCAACACCCAAUUAAAUGCAAAGUGUUCAUUAACUACUUCGAAAACUAUGGGGUUUGAGUGAACGUCUCUCUCUCUCUCUCUCUCUCUCCACUCUCGAUAUAAUCACUGUUACUCGAUUGUUUGACUCUGCUUUAACAUUGUCAAAGCUGAGUGUGACUCGUUAGCAUUUGUUUUUGGCUUUAGUGAAAGCUAACAACAUGAAUUCCCGUACCAGAAAAUGGAGUACGUGGAAAAACAAUUCUACAUAGGAGUAUGUGGAAGAAAAAACACUGAGGAAGCUGAUUUAUAAUCGAGAUCAAACAAGAAAGUCAAAGUCGGGACAAAAAAUAACCCUAAGAUAAGGAGAUCUGGGGAACAAUUUUUUUCUCGCUAAAUGCACUAACCAGGAUGACCGGGAGUUUGCUAAAAACUCAGGAAUGCUUGUGAUUUUUUAUUUAGAGAGUGUCUAGCAAUGUGAUAGCGGUUGCUUUUUAAAUAAUUUUUUAUGUCGAAAUGCAUGUCAAUGAUAUUUUUUUAUUUUUAAAAAAUUAUUUUUGACAUCAGCACAUCAAAACGAUCCAAAACAUACAAACCAUAUUAAAUUUUAACUAAAAUAAAAAUUUAAAUUUUUUGGGAACGCAGUUUGCACCGCGUUCCCAAACAUGUUCUAAGGCUAGGUGCAUGAGUCUGUUUCUAUUUUUGAUUUUUUUAAUUUAAUUUUUUUAAUAAUUAAUUUAAAAUAUUAUAAAAAUAUUAAAUUCUUAAAUUCUUAAAAUAAUUAAGAAUAUAUUGAUGUAACCCCUCAGUUUUUUAGAGUAUUUUUAUAUCAUCUCGUUCACGAAUCAUUUUAAUUAUUUGUAAAUAUUUGAUAAGCAUCAAGUAGAUUUCUUUUAUAUAUAUAUAUAUAUAUAUAUAUAUAUAUAUCCACUAUCAAAAUUUUAAUAGAGUUUUAUUUGUACUAGUAACAUACCAAGUCAUGAUAACUUCAUUCAUUUCAUCAAAUUCAAUCUUAAUCAUGACUCAUCCAUCCUAUUCUUUAUUUCACAAUAUUCCCACUACUCAAGAAUAGUUUGCAAUGAUUUGCAACAAAGAGGAAUAAAUUGAGAUACAAAGAGUAAGAACAACUUAUUUAAAUAUUACACAUUAAUCGGCGCAAUUAAAUGGUCUAAAGUAUACUAUAUAUUUUGAGUACUUUGUUUGCAUUUGAUUUGUUAAUUUCAAGUUUCGUCAAAGAGUGAUUACAGGUUAAAAUACUUUUUUAGUAAAUUUAUCUUGUCACGCGAAGGGCAAACUUGGAUACGCCUGCUGUCAUUGCCAGUCACAGUCAUAAUUAUUCUUGGUCUUGCCAUUUUACUAUUAAUUAACUAAUUGUUUAAUUAAUCAAUGAAACCGUGCGUUUCUUAUGUGAUUUUUCAAAGACGGCCAUGAAUGAUUCUUUGAAUUCGCGUGAAAUGUCGUGUUUUCAACAGAUGAGGUGUUCAUAGGAUGUCAAUACAGACCAAUGAAAUGGACCUUCCUCGGCUGAUAUAUUAACUGAUCUGGCUAUCUAACAGGUUGUUGAUUUUUUUUUAAAAUAAAUUUAAAUAUACAGGUUAUUUUAAUAUGUUUAUUUUAAUACAAAAUUCAAAAAAUCAAUGCAAUCAUCUAAUUAUAUUUUAAAAAAUAUUAAUAAUAGAAAAAAUAGAAAAAAAUUAAGAGAUAAAUCUAAAUUAAGAUAUUCAAUCACCAAAAUUAAGACAUUUAACUAAUUAUAUUUAUUAAACUUGUUUAUUUAAAUCAAUAAAAAUUAAUAGAAACACAAAUGAAAUUGAUUGAAUAAACUCACACCAUAAAAAACUAUUAUGCAAGGCCCAACAUAUUAGAAAUAUUAUUUAAAAAUAAGUAUUUUUUAUUAUAAAAAAUAAAGUUCAUUUAUAUAUAUAUAAAAUAAUAGAUGAGUUAAAAUAAUUACUUAGAAAUCAAACACAAAUAAAAAAAAGUUAUAUUAAAAAAAACAUGCAAAACUUAUAAUCUAGAUCAUGAGAUCGAGAUAUAAUCAUAAAAAAAAAAUUAAAGAGAACCACAAAACUAAUAUUUAACCAAAAAAAAAAAAACCUAAUAUAAAACAAUAAAAUCAUAUGAAAUUUUCACUAUGAAAAAACUAUUUUGUUGACUUUUCCUUAGUUGAAGAAGUUUUGAAUGUAGCUAACAGUCGUAUGAUAAAAGGAUAUUUCUCAAAAUCUUGAAAGCGAUGCAACUUUGUACGUGGAGUUUAAUAAUCUGCUGAUUCCACUGGAUUAACACGAAAGAAUCUCUCUUUGGGCAUUGUUGGUCAAGGAACAGCACGAUUUCUUGAAGAAUGAUGCACGAUCGAUUACUUCCACGAAAUAAAAGUGACUAGAUUUUGCUAUUAUUAAAUUUUCUUCUAGAUCUACUAAAGAAAAGAUGACUUUUAAAUUUUAAAAAUUAUUUUUAACAUCAACGUAUUAAAAUAAAAAAUAUAUAUAAAAAAAAUUUAAUAAAAAAUUUAAUUUUAAAAAAUAUGGUUUGAAUUACAUUUCCAUCAAAAAAAUAAUAAUAUUGCCCAUAAAUGCCAAUGAUAAUUUUAUUAUGUUGAGGAACUAACCAGGAGGAGCAACAUCUUUAUGUGCACUUACGUGAAACUUUAGCUUAUGAAAUAAUUCCAAAACAAUGUUUUACCAAACGGGCAAUAUUUAACUCAUCGUAGGCUGUAGCUAGCUAGCUAGCUCCUCUAAUGUUAGCACUUAAUUUUUUUGACUCAUUCUAAGCCAUGCACGCACGUAAUGAUCUCAUAGUUUAUGUUAGAGCAGACUUCCUAUAUAUUACGAAGUUUAAAAUAUUUUUAAAAUACAAAAAUAAAUAAACAAAUAAAUGAUAGCACAUAUAUAGUAUUUUUUAGUGGUUACAUGCAUGUAUCUAACUCCUAAGAUCACAUUGGAAAUUUAUCACAAAAAAACACGUCCUGGCUAAUUCUUUUAUGCUGCCGUAUGAAAGGGGGAAAUUAAUGGAAAUUAAGUUUUCAGUGAAUAUUUUUCUUCUGUACUGUCCUUGCAGUGAAUAAAAAUACAUAUUCACAAAAAAAAAGGUAUUUUUUAGCAAACAUAUCUUUUUUAUUCAUUUUUUAAAUUUAAUAAAAAUACGUCUUUUUUUUUAUUAGGAACAUGAUUUUUGAAUAAAAGCUAGGAGAAACCAAACUAAAUAUUGUAAACAUUUCCAAUAAUUUGAAUUAAAGAGAAAAAAUAUUUUCCUAUCAUGCCACACGAUCUGUUGCCUUUGUUUCGAGUGCUCCCAAAAGUAUUAAAAAAAAAUCGUUUUUGAAAAAACUUAACGAUCCCACACACACACGCUAAUCAUCUAGAUUAUAGGUACAAAUUAUAUAAAGCCUUAAGAGGGGUGAUCACCCAUGAAAAUAUUUAUUCAUGCAGGUAUGAGUUUUAUUGCAGAGGCCGGUACUGCGGCUACAAAAUAGAAAUAAUCAAAACCUACAUGCACCUAGGAUAUUUCCCAGCUUACAAUAUAAUAGCAGAACUAGGAUUACAGUAUCCUUGCAAAUCAUACAAUAAUAAAUUAAUAAUACAACCAAAUAAUUGGCAUAACAUAUGCUAAACAAACAAGAAGCGUUUAACACGGUGGCAUAUAGGGAGGUGGUGGUAGCAUUUGGGCUUUCUUGCCUCGACCGUUCUUGAUUAUGAAUGCCAUCUCCAUACCCCAUGACAGAUGACGCUCCAGAUGGCAGUGCACGAACCAUACUCCUGUUACAAAUAAAAUAGACACAUGAUGUUAGAUCUGCCUCGUAAUCAAGGUAAUAAAGAGAAAUAACACUCUUAAUAUCAUACUUUGCUGGUUAUUAUAUAUUUUAACUGGUUAUGCUACUUAUAUUUACCAGGAUUGGUAGCUUUGAAUCUUAUAACAGACCAGCCAUUUUUGGGAAUGACAAUGGUAUUUUGAAGAGGAGGGUCAACAAGAUUGUAUCUCAAAGGGUCUUUAUCCUUGUCGAAGUUGCCAAAUCCCCAACCAACAACAUAGAAGCUUGUUCCAUGUAUGUGCAUAGGAUGAUCAGUGCCAGCAGCCACAUUUGUCCCCUGAAAAACAAUCUCCACCGUCGAGUUAUACUCGAGCACUUUCACUUCUGUACCUUUUGAUGGUGUCUUAUAAAUCAAUGGGAUAGUAUCCGCAGUGAAAUUGAAGAACAAUGGUGGUUUAUCAGGAAAGUGAUCACCGUAAACACCAUUGAUUUGAUUAUAAUAAGCUCUUAGUAUAUCCAUACGUGUAGGUGUUUGAAAGCUUAUGUUGUUCACACUAGCAGCUAGUCUAGACUGAUUCGCCCCACAAGAAGUGUUUGCACACGUAAAUAUAUUAACAGAAACAGUGAAAAAUAAUGGAGUGCUUAUGCUCAUGGGGACAUAAAUUGGAUGGUUAUUAUCAGCUAAGCUUCUAAGACGGCCAGUGAAAUUAACC
RNAcentral lists this long non-coding RNA (7380 nucleotides) under Populus trichocarpa (black cottonwood). RNAcentral's name for it is "long non-coding RNA (PTRI_LNC001586)". The record is from RNAcentral. Lineage: Eukaryota; Viridiplantae; Streptophyta; Magnoliopsida; Malpighiales; Salicaceae.